GCGGGAGUAGCUCAGUUGGUAGAGCGCUAGCCUUCCAAGCUGGAUGCCGCGGGUUCGAGUCCCGUCUCCCGCUCCA
Molecule: transfer RNA, 76 nt
Filed under: Chloroflexota bacterium
Lineage: Bacteria; Bacillati; Chloroflexota
Also listed under: 1 other name
Description: Chloroflexi bacterium tRNA-Gly
Rfam family: tRNA
About the family: Transfer RNA (tRNA) molecules are approximately 80 nucleotides in length. Their secondary structure includes four short double-helical elements and three loops (D, anti-codon, and T loops). Further hydrogen bonds mediate the characteristic L-shaped molecular structure. tRNAs have two regions of fundamental functional importance: the anti-codon, which is responsible for specific mRNA codon recognition, and the 3' end, to which the tRNAs corresponding amino acid is attached (by aminoacyl-tRNA synthetases). tRNAs cope with the degeneracy of the genetic code in two manners: having more than one tRNA (with a specific anti-codon) for a particular amino acid; and 'wobble' base-pairing, i.e. permitting non-standard base-pairing at the 3rd anti-codon position.
Source: RNAcentral